UCAGGACGAACGCUGGCGGCGUGCCUAACACAUGCAAGUCGAACGAAGCACUCGGAGCUUGCUUGAGUGACUAGUGGCGGACGGGUGAGUAAUGUAUGAGCAACCUGCCCUUCAUGGGGGACAACAGUUGGAAACGACUGCUAAUACCGCAUGACGUAUCCGGGAGGCAUCUUUUGGAUACCAAAGAUUUAUCGCUGAAGGAUGGGCUCAUAUCUGAUUAGCUUGUUGGCGGGGUAACGGCCCACCAAGGCGACGAUCAGUAGCCGGACUGAGAGGUUGAACGGCCACAUUGGGACUGAGAUACGGCCCAGACUCCUACGGGAGGCAGCAGUGGGGAAUGUUGCACAAUGGGCGAAAGCCUGAUGCCAGCGACGCCGCGUGAACGAAGAAGUAUUUCGGUAUGUAAAGUUCUAUCAGCAGGGAAGAAAAAUGACGGUACCUGACUAAGAAGCUCCGGCUAAAUACGUGCCAGCAGCUGC
RNAcentral lists this ribosomal RNA (479 nucleotides) under uncultured bacterium. Its description in RNAcentral is "bacterial SSU rRNA". It matches the Rfam family "Bacterial small subunit ribosomal RNA", at positions 24 to 518 of the family's 1533-position model. The record is from RNAcentral.